GUGCUUGCUUCAGCAGCAUAGAUACUAAAAUUGGAAUGAUACAGAGAAGAUUAGCAUGGCCCCUGUGCAAAGAUGACACACAAAUUCAUGAAGUGUUCCAUAUUAUA
RNAcentral lists this small nuclear RNA (107 nucleotides) under Vombatus ursinus (common wombat). The record is from RNAcentral. Lineage: Eukaryota; Metazoa; Chordata; Mammalia; Diprotodontia; Vombatidae.